UUUCACUGUGUAUAGACGUUACAAGGAUUCUCAAGAUAAGGAUGGCAUGCAACAAGAGAACCAGAUGUCUUCUCUCAAACCAAUGUAGGCCUUCCUCCUGUUGAUACGGCCUGAGAAAUAGGUAAAUGGCUGCAAAAGAAAACAACUCGAGGAGCCUCUCAGGGCUGUAAAUUAGACUAAACAAGAACAUGUAGUUAAUUGGCACAACUAAACACACAUUCCAAUGUCCUUAA
Long non-coding RNA from Strigops habroptila (Kakapo), 233 nucleotides. RefSeq lists it as uncharacterized. The record is from RefSeq and is a predicted model, not a curated record. NCBI's taxonomy places the organism in Eukaryota, Metazoa, Chordata, Aves, Psittaciformes, Psittacidae. The transcript is spliced from 3 exons.